AUUGAACGCUGGCGGAAUGCUUUACACAUGCAAGUCGAACGGCAGCACGUGAGCUUGCUCCUGGUGGCGAGUGGCGAACGGGUGAGUAACAUAUCGGAACGUACCCCGCCGUGGGGGAUAACUAUCCGAAAGGAUAGCUAAUACCGCAUACGUCCUGAGGGACGAAGCGGGGGAUCGCAAGACAUCUCUCUAUUGGAGCGGUGGAUAUCGGAUUAGCUAGUUGGUGGGGUAAAGGCUCACCAAGGCGAUGAUCCGUAGCGGGUCUGAGAGGACGACCCGCCACACUGGAACUGAGACACGGUCCAGACUCCUACGGGAGGCAGCAGUGGGGAAUUUUGGACAAUGGGGGCAACCCUGAUCCAGCCAUUCCGCGUGAGUGAAGAAGGCCUUCGGGUUGUAAAGCUCUUUCAGCAGGAACGAAACGGUCGGCUUUAAUAAAGUCGGCUAAUGACGGUACCUGCAGAAGAAGCACCGGCUAACUACGUG
RNAcentral lists this ribosomal RNA (486 nucleotides) under uncultured bacterium. RNAcentral's name for it is "partial 16S ribosomal RNA". It matches the Rfam family "Bacterial small subunit ribosomal RNA", at positions 30 to 507 of the family's 1533-position model. The record is from RNAcentral.